RNAcentral lists this ribosomal RNA (481 nucleotides) under uncultured bacterium. Its description in RNAcentral is "partial 16S ribosomal RNA". It matches the Rfam family "Bacterial small subunit ribosomal RNA", at positions 28 to 507 of the family's 1533-position model. The record is from RNAcentral.
GAUGAACGCUGGCGGCGUGCUUAACACAUGCAAGUCGAACGAAGCACUUUAUUUGAUUUCCUUCGGGACUGAUUAUUUUGUGACUGAGUGACGGACGGGUGAGUAACGCGUGGGUAACCUGCCUUGUACAGGGGGAUAACAGUUGGCAACGGCUGCUAAUACAGCACAAGCGCAAAGCAUCGAAUGAUGCAGUGCGAAAAACUCCGGUGGUAUAAGAUGGACCUGCGUUGGAUUAGCUAGUCGGUGAGGUAACGGCCCACCAAGGCGACGAUCCAUAGCCGAGCUGAGAGGCUGGCCCGCCACAUUGGGAGUGAGACACGGCCGGAACUCCUACGGGAGGCAGCAGUGGGGAAUAUUGCACAAUGGGCGAAAGCCUGAUGCAGCGACGCCGCGAGAGCGAAGAAGUAUUGCAGUAAGUAAAGCGCUAUCAGCAGGGCAGAUAAUGACGGUACCUAACUAAGAAGCACCGGCUAAAUACGUG